This is a non-coding RNA of Ailuropoda melanoleuca (giant panda), 73 nucleotides long. The record is from Rfam. NCBI's taxonomy places the organism in Eukaryota, Metazoa, Chordata, Mammalia, Carnivora, Ursidae.
ACCUGGCUGGCUCAGUUAGUAGGGCGUGUGACUCUUGAUCUCGAGGCUGUGAGUUCAAGCCCCACAUUGGGUG